Molecule: unclassified non-coding RNA, 5186 nt
Filed under: Haliotis rubra (blacklip abalone)
Lineage: Eukaryota; Metazoa; Mollusca; Gastropoda; Lepetellida; Haliotidae
Description: ciliogenesis-associated TTC17-interacting protein- like, transcript variant X1
Source: RNAcentral
CAUAGUGACGACCGCCAUGUUGAGUGCUUUGACGUGAAGUUGUUCUGUCAAAUAUUCUUUUAUUUUGUGACGAUUCUUUUGUGUAUUGCCGUUAGUCAGCGUGCUUUGCCUGCAUUUUAAAGUAAACAAUGAGCGCCGAUACAGUCAACAGUAAUCCCAAUGGUGUGGCAUCAGAGGUUCCAGGUUCAGUUGAUGCUGGAGUGGUCCCAAAGGCGAGUGCUAAUGGACUUGAGUUUCUGCAAAGUAUAGAUGGGGAAACAGAUUUCCAGUACCUGCUUUUUGACGAUAACCUGGUGACCGUGUCGGACACAGGGAAGGAGCUGGGAGAGUUCACGGUGACAGUAGAGCCCACCAAGUACAAGUCCCAGGAGCUGUUCCUCAUACAUGCCAACAGCCAUGGAGCCAUAGAUGGAGUGCCAUGUGGCACAUCCAUCACUUGCUAUGUCACCAAGCAACUCGAAACCAUCGAACAGCAGCAUCAUGAAUAUGUCAAGCUGGAGAAUUGCCCAUUAGACAGGAAGACGUUCAUUGUUCGCCAGGAAGAAGGAUAUGUUGUGAAUCGAGUCAUCACACAGCGGGAGGAUGUUCAGAGAACAGCCAAAACAAUCGCACUGGACACGAUGCAAGGCUUUAUUUCUGAAGGGUCCAAUCUGCUGCUCCACAGACUGUUGAUAGAAAAGAAUUUUCCUGAUGACAUGCAACUGCUUUCCUUUGACUCUGACGCCAAUCUCAGUGUGGCUGUGUAUAAACACCUGGAAGAGAGAUCUCAGAAUGUGGAAGGUCUUGAUAUGAGGGUGUUUGGUAUAGAGAGAACCAUCAUCUCCACAACAGACCUACCUACUACAUGGCAGUCCUACUUCUCAGGCGAUUGUCACCUGACGAACAGAGUGCAAGUAGGGUCACCAGUCACGAUGAAGUUAGCUCAGAUACCUACUGCCAUAGAGAGAGAUGAAGAGCCACCAAAACCAACAUUCGAGAAACAGCCACUCAACUGGGAAGAAGACAUGCAGCUGUAUUCCAGAUUUUUGGACAGAAAGGAAGAGCUGAAGGGAGACCAUGCUGUUUACAUGAGGCAUCACCCAGAGCUGAAAGCGCUACUUGCUGAUUUCCUGCAGUUUUUGUUGCUACGGAAACCUGAUGACGUGCUAUCAUUUGCAGCCGAGUACUUCGCUGCCUUUUCCAACACUAUGCCGUCAUCAUCUCCAUACAUGGCCUCAAGUACAUCCACACCCUUUCCUGCUAGUCGAACAAAUACAGGCAUCGAGAAAUUGCGGACACCCACCCGAUAAUGAUUUACUUUUAGAAGUCAAAUAAUGUAACAGCAGCAUUGGAUCAUCAAAGCAGUUGUAGCACUCAGUCGGCAGUCAGUAUUUUGGUCUGGAGUUCCUCUUAGCGCUAAGAUGGCUUUGUGGACAGGACCAAGAGCAUCAUGAUGACUGCUCAUACUUCAUCUUCCGUCAGGAUUACUGUGUUACUCUGGGCUUGUCGUCAGUGCCACAGUUUAACUCCUCCCUUGAUGUCCUGUGUUGAGUGUUUUAACUUUAUCUCAAGUAAUUACUCAUUGCCAUACUGAUGUUGUAUUGGUUUCCAUGGCAACAUCUUUCAGUAUUUACACUUGGACUUCCAUAAAAGUGGAUGUUGACCAGACUCAGGUGCAAGCCCAACCUCUUUGUAAAACUACUUGGAAACCACCAACUGCUUUACACAAUCUGUGUGUCUAUUGGUCUAAUGUUCCUGGUCUGUCACCUGAAACGUGUGUCAGGAAGCUGCUAAUGUCUAGCCAUUUGCUGAAGUGACAAGAUAAGGAGAGACGACAUCCUCUAAGAAAUGUACAAAUUGUGUCUUAUGAAGUUUAAGGGAUGUUACAACUGAGUUGUCAUGAUUGGACGGUGUAAUAUCUAGGCGUUAUAAUGAUUCAUUAAUGUAUCAGUACAAAUAUGUAAACAGAGAGACAUGUAAAAUUAUGUCAAAAUAGUAAAUUCUGCCUACUGGUAGGAUGUUAAUGAGAUCUCAAGCAACAUGUCCUAACUCUGUCUCAAGUAUACUAUAUGGAUUUGUUUGUCUUCAACACACUCUCUCUGGUGAAGGACUUUGUCUAAAGGGAAGGCAAGUACAGAGAGGUCCUGAAUCUUAGUGUGCUGUGUCAGUCAACAAUAUCACAUCACAACAAAGUGUUUCAGUCCUCAUAGUGUUCCGGGUUGAUGACACUACUUACCAAGAAUGACAGUUAAUCAAAGCUUUGUUUUGUUCAUCUCUUCAGGCAGUCAUGGAUUCACAAACAGCUGACACAUUGUAUCCACCUGAUCAAGAUUACCUGACAAGACUCGGGGUAAUGGCCUAUCACACUGCCAGUCGCACUCUGUUCAUUACCUAUGGCAUGGGUUGCUGUAGACCUGUACUGCUGGAGAUACCCCAGUUUUGUGGAGGGUUUAUAGGACUACUUCUGAAGAUGCCCUCUCCAGCCAUGAUACUGCUGUAGUAAUGCUGAUACCUCUUUUGGUCACACUUGGGGGUUUGGGGGUUGCACCACAGCUUCCUCUCCUUGUCACGACUGGAAGGAUGUGAUGGACAUCGGGUUGUCAUGACUGGAAGGAUGUGAUUGACAUCGGGUUGUCACAACUGGAAGGAUGUGAUUGUCAUCUGGUUGUCACGACUGGAAGGAUGUGAUAGACAUCGGGUUGUCACGACUGGAAGGAUGUGAUCCUUAUCUGGUUGUCAUGACUGGAAGGAUGUGAUUGACAUCGGGUUGUCACAACUGGAAGGAUGUGAUUGUCAUCUGGUUGUCAUGACUGGAUGGAUGUGAUUGACAUCGCGUUGUCACGACUGGAUGGAUGUGAUUGACAUCUGGUUGUCAUGACUGGAUGGAUGUGAUUGUCAUCUAGGACUUCUGUUUAUACUUCCACCAUGACCACACUACUGGCAUUGUGUUUAGUGUAUGACACAGCAUGAUGGGCAGUAUUCUUAGAAUUCUGUUUUGUCGAAAUACUGUAUAUAUUUUUCUGGAGAUACUGCCUUUAAUAUAUAUGCGUUAAACUGUCAGCAAUGUGUUGUCUUGGUGAAUGAUCACUUGAGAGUGGCACUUACCUUGAGGUUUCCCUAUGAUGUGAAGGCUGACAGAGAGGAUAUGACCUUCGGUUUACCCAAUGGGAUCAGGUUAAAAUGCACUGAGACAAAACAGUAUACAAGUCCUGGUUAAAAAGGCUCCAGUAUUCCAUGGGGUAAAUGGCAAAAGAUACUUUGGUUUGCAUGUAUGUUUUCCCCAUUCCAGCAUGACCCACCCCAAUAUAUAGAUCUGUGAAACCUCUCAGCUGUGGACAACUGAAGCACUGUACCACAAUGUAAACUGACACCACUUACUUCCCUUUAUGUUUUUUUAAUCAGUCAGUGUUGGGAAGAUGUUUUGUACACUUCAACUGGCACUGUACCACAAUGUAAACUGACACCACUUACUUCCCUUUAUGUUUUUUUAAUCAGUCAGUGUUGGGAAGAAUUUUUGUACACUUCAAUUGGCACUGUACCACAAUGUAAACUGACACCACUUACUUCCCUUUAUGUUUUUUUAAUCAGUCAGUGUUGGGAAGAUGUUUUGUACACUUCAACUGACCGUCUGAUGACCUGUACACCUGUCAACCAAGCGUUACCUGUACACCUGUCAACCAAGCGUUACCUGUCAUUUAAUCAAGCCUUUGUACAUAGUCCAUUUCAUUUUGCUGUGAAAUUCAUCCAUAUCUUGUACAGAUUUCUCCUCAAUUGUGAGUGCUUUGUUGAAUACUGCUUUAAGUUAUUUAACUGCAGAAUUUUGUUGAUUUUGUUAGAAAUGUGUUUUGUAGAUUUUAAUCAAGUUCAUUUGGAAGCUCAUUAGUCAGAAAAUUCAUAACCUGGGAUAAAUUUGAUCAACAGAAUAUGUUUCCAGUUGUCCACUACUCCAACAUUCGCUGUCAGUAUGUUAGUUCCCGUCUACAGUUCACUGCAGGACGUUGUGCUCACAGUCUGGAGACUAGCUGUAGGUCUGACAGGACAGUGUGUAUCAGCAGGUUAGGUAGUGGUGCCCAGCUCGUUACUACUGACAAACACCUGUUGUCUCAAGCCUGUUGACCCGGUUGUCAGUCAACAGACCUCAAUGUGCAUUUUCCAACCACUACUUUGUGCAUGCUUUGGCAGUCAGUGGAGGUUGUAUAAAAGACCCAGUGUCACUGAUGACACCUGACAUGUCAUGCAUGUUGAUGAUGCAGUAGGUAAUGAUUACUACUAACAUGACCAACAUAUAGACACAAAGUCACUCCUGACACAAGUUUGUGCAUCCUGACUGGACACCAAGGUGGGGGUUAUCUCCCCUGAACCUGUUAGGGAAAGUAUUAUUGACAGGAAUAAAGCAUAUUUUGAAAUGAACAAUAAACUGCUUUCAAAGGGGUACAACUUCUAUGACUUUUCAGCAGGAUCAGUCGAGAAUAACGUGUUCUUCAAAAAUUGCCCACUGAACUGCACAGGUCACUGAACCAUGUUCUUCAAAAACUGCCCACUGAACUGCACAGGUCACUGAACCAGGUUCUUCAAGAACCGCCUACUGAAUUGCACAGGUCACUGAACCAUGUUCUUCAAAAACUGCCCACUGAACUGCACAGGUCACUGAACCAGGUUCUUCAAGAACCGCCUACUGAAUUGCACAGGUCACUGAACCAUGUUCUUCAAAAACUGCCCACUGAACUGCACAGGUCACUGAACCAGGUUCUUCAAGAACCGCCUAUGGAACUGCACAGGUCACUGGACCAUGUUAUUCAAGAACCGCCUACUGCAUCCACAGUGAUGAUGUCAAACCCCUGAACAUACUCCCACUUACAGGAUCUGCAUCUGGGUAGUUUAGCUGCUGAUUUCCUUGUAUGUCUUCACUAGGAAAGAUAACUACCGGUAUACAAGAUAAUGAAGACAAGUCUUAAGUUGUUUUUUAUUGGAGUCAAAAUGAGUAAGAUCAAUCCUCAAACAGUAUCUGAAUCAGUAUUCUAAAAAAUAUAUUUGGUAAUUUGUUUAAAGACAGACACAAACAUGAGAAUAAAAUAUACUCUUACACACGAUGUAAAACUACAAAAUAAGUACAUUGUUUUUAAAAGACAAAAUAUUUUCGGAUCUCUGAUCCUUUCAUUUUCACAACAUAUUUUGUGAGCUGAAAUAAAUAUGUUUUCUCUGUGUUA